Molecule: ribosomal RNA, 253 nt
Filed under: uncultured bacterium
Lineage: Bacteria
Description: partial 16S ribosomal RNA
Rfam family: Bacterial small subunit ribosomal RNA
Source: RNAcentral
UACGAAGGGGGCUAGCGUUGCUCGGAAUUACUGGGCGUAAAGCGCACGUAGGCGGCUUUCUAAGUCGGGGGUGAAAUCCUGGAGCUCAACUCCAGAACUGCCUUCGAUACUGGAGAGCUUGAGUCCGGGAGAGGUGAGUGGAACUGCGAGUGUAGGGGUGAAAUUCGUAGAUAUUCGCAAGAACACCAGUGGCGAAGGCGGCUCACUGGCCCGGUACUGACGCUGAGGUGCGAAAGCGUGGGGAGCGAACAGG